GACGAACGCUGGCGGCGUGCCUAACACAUGCAAGUCGAGCGGAGAUACCUAGUAGUUUACUACGAAGUAUCUUAGCGGCGGACGGGUGAGUAACGCGUGGGUAACCUGCCUUACAGAGGGGGAUAACAGUGCGAAAGUACUGCUAAUACCGCAUAAGAUUGUACUAUCGCAUGGUAGAGCAAUCAAAGGAGAAAUCCGCUGUAAGAUGGACCCGCGUCUGAUUAGCUAGUUGGAGAGGUAAAAGCUCACCAAGGCGACGAUCAGUAGCCGAUCUGAGAGGAUGAACGGCCACACUGGAACUGAGACACGGUCCAGACUCCUACGGGAGGCUG
RNAcentral lists this ribosomal RNA (332 nucleotides) under uncultured Bacillota bacterium. RNAcentral describes it as "bacterial SSU rRNA". It matches the Rfam family "Bacterial small subunit ribosomal RNA", at positions 28 to 351 of the family's 1533-position model. Lineage: Bacteria; Bacillati; Bacillota. The record is from RNAcentral.